GUUUCAUCACCUUAGGCCCACUUUUACUCUUCUUAAAAUGGGGACACUGGCACCAACACCCAUGUUUUAGGCCCUUGCCAAAAAGAUGCAUUAUAUUAAAUUAGAAGCCUUGGCGCUAAUAGGCUGUUGCUUUCAAGUUGCCUCAAAGCAAUUCCGCUGGGUAUUCGAUCACAACCGGAGAAUCAGUCAACUGCCCUUGAAGCAUUUCAUGGUCCCCUGUACCUUUCAGAGCUCCUUUGUGUGCCAUCCCACCCUCUGAGGAUUGAAGAGCUGGGCCUAUUGAAGUCUGGAUAUCGCAGGAGCAGGAGGGGCAGCGUCUGUAUUGAGAUUCUCUGGCCCUGGAAUUCAGGCACAUUGAGGAAGACCAGGGAAAUCAGGCGGUUAUACCAGGACAUAAUGAAGAAUUAAAUUGCAAUGCCCCUAAUGGAGCAAAACUGCCAGUUAAAGAAACAUCAAAACACUGGGCCUCAUCCUUUGAUACAAGGCAUUGAAAAUGGAGAUGAUUGACUUCUAAUGCUGUGUGUUCUAGGAAUGUGUUUUGGCAUUAAUUAUAUCAGUACUUUAA
This is a long non-coding RNA of Heteronotia binoei (common prickly gecko), 565 nucleotides long. RefSeq lists it as uncharacterized. The record is from RefSeq and is a predicted model, not a curated record. Lineage: Eukaryota; Metazoa; Chordata; Lepidosauria; Squamata; Gekkonidae. The transcript has 2 exons.